CCUACGGGUGGCAGCAGUGGGGGAUAUUGCACAAUGGGGGGAACCCUGAUGCAGCGACGCCGCGUGGGUGAAGGAGUGCUUCGGCAUGUAAAGCCCUAUCGGCAGGGAAGAAGCAAGACGGGACCUGACUAAGAAGCCCCGGCUAACUACGUGCCAGCAGCCGCGGUAAUACGUAGGGGGCGAGCGUUAUCCGGAUUCACGGGGUGUAAAGGGAGCGUAGAAGGCGAUGCAAGCCAGGGGUGAAAGCCCGGGGCGCAACCCCGGGACUGCCCUUGGUACUGCAUGGCUUGCGUGCGGUAGGGGCAGGCAGAAUUCCUGGUGCAGCGGUGAAAUGCGUAGAGAUCAGGAGGAACACCGGCGGCGAAGGCGGCCUGCUGGACCGCGACUGACGUGGAGGUGCGAAAGCGUGGGGAGCGAACAGGAUUAGAUACCCGUGUAGUC
RNAcentral lists this ribosomal RNA (441 nucleotides) under uncultured bacterium. RNAcentral describes it as "partial 16S ribosomal RNA". It matches the Rfam family "Bacterial small subunit ribosomal RNA", at positions 338 to 795 of the family's 1533-position model. The record is from RNAcentral.